This 76-nucleotide transfer RNA is filed under the name Dehalococcoidia bacterium. Its description in RNAcentral is "tRNA-Lys". It matches the Rfam family "tRNA". Rfam says of the family: Transfer RNA (tRNA) molecules are approximately 80 nucleotides in length. Their secondary structure includes four short double-helical elements and three loops (D, anti-codon, and T loops). Further hydrogen bonds mediate the characteristic L-shaped molecular structure. tRNAs have two regions of fundamental functional importance: the anti-codon, which is responsible for specific mRNA codon recognition, and the 3' end, to which the tRNAs corresponding amino acid is attached (by aminoacyl-tRNA synthetases). tRNAs cope with the degeneracy of the genetic code in two manners: having more than one tRNA (with a specific anti-codon) for a particular amino acid; and 'wobble' base-pairing, i.e. permitting non-standard base-pairing at the 3rd anti-codon position. The record is from RNAcentral. Lineage: Bacteria; Bacillati; Chloroflexota; Dehalococcoidia.
GGGCCGUUAGCUCAGUUGGCAGAGCAGUAGCCUUUUAAGCUAUUGGUCGGAGGUUCGAAUCCUCCACGGCUCACCA